RNAcentral lists this ribosomal RNA (253 nucleotides) under uncultured bacterium. RNAcentral's name for it is "partial 16S ribosomal RNA". It matches the Rfam family "Bacterial small subunit ribosomal RNA", at positions 524 to 776 of the family's 1533-position model. The record is from RNAcentral.
UACGUAGGGUGCAAGCGUUAAUCGGAAUUACUGGGCGUAAAGCGUGCGCAGGCGGUUGUGCAAGACAGAUGUGAAAUCCCCGGGCUCAACCCGGGAACUGCGUCCGAUACUGGAAGGCUUGAAUCCGGGAGAGGGAUGCGGAAUUCCAGGUGUAGCGGUGAAAUGCGUAGAUAUCUGGAGGAACACCGGUGGCGAAGGCGGCAUCCUGGACCGGCAUUGACGCUGAGGCGCGAAAGCCAGGGGAGCAAACGGG